Molecule: unclassified non-coding RNA, 234 nt
Filed under: plant metagenome
Description: partial contains small subunit ribosomal RNA and internal transcribed spacer 1
Rfam family: Eukaryotic small subunit ribosomal RNA (bases 1-53)
Source: RNAcentral
GGAAGUAAAAGUCGUAAAAGGUCUCCGUAGGUGAACCUGCGGAGGGAUCACUACAGGCUUGCAAAAGCUCUGAAACCACUGUUUAUCUACCUGAAUCUGCCUCGGCGGGCGGCCCCAGGGCGGGGCCGUAGCCGCAAGGCGCCCGCCGAAGACCCCUAAACUCUGUCGUCUUGAGAAUCUCUGAGUAUCAUAUUAAACAGAAAACAACUUUCAACAACGGGUCUCUUGGCUCUG